RNAcentral lists this long non-coding RNA (620 nucleotides) under Anas platyrhynchos platyrhynchos (common mallard). RNAcentral's name for it is "lncRNA (ENSAPLG00000029092.1)". Lineage: Eukaryota; Metazoa; Chordata; Aves; Anseriformes; Anatidae. The record is from RNAcentral.
ACCUCAGCACAGGCAGAUGUUUCACUGGCAUCUCAGCGCAGUGCUUGUUUCGCUUAGGGAGGUGACCAUCAAAUGCCAUCAGAUUUGACCAAAGCAAGCUAUAUGGGCUUCUAGAAAACAUUUUGAAGUUUUUCCUGGAAGAACAGCUUUAUCAAGUAGCAGCACAUCCAGUAGAAAAGAGAAGGCCCUUUGGACACGUAAGCAAAAUCUACAUGAAUCACUCAAUACAUGUGUGUUAUAAAAAUGCAUGUGUCUUGAUAUAAUAGAAGAUUGAUUUUUUUUAUUAUUAUUCUUAGAAUGGUUGUUUGAGACUUGUUCUGCCACAUUGAGCACAAGAUAAAUUUUGGUUUGAGAUACUAAACAGUGCUUGAAUUUCAGUUGUCUAUAAAGCUAAUUGAUCUUCCACUCUUUUUUUCUGGAACAGAGGUGUGUAAGGUUUUUAUGUACUUUUAGGUAAUUAGGACAGUAGAGAUAAAACUCCCUUUCUUAUCCCCUAUAGUGCUUCAGAAAUCAGGCUUCUUACAUCCAAGAAAACUUUUAAGUUUAUCAUUCCUCUUAACACAUAUUAUAGCUGUCUAAAAGCGUGUUCUUGCUUUUGCACAAGUUCUGUGCUCUGAUUA